CACAGAUACAGAGGUUGCCUAGCAACAUGUAAGGACAAAGCUCAAUUCGCAAGUUACAGCCGAGUGAAUGAGCCCUGUGAUGGGUCGAGGUGAUGGAUAAUGUGCUUCACUGACUUGCUCCUACUGACAAAGCUGGGUAAACCGUCCCAGCCCUACUUUGGCUAAGACUUUGCAAGUCUCGCAUUCCUGUUGUUCUCCGGGAGCCAGCAAAGUAUGUGUUGGCAUUAUCUGAUCUGACUUCAUCCAAAGGAGAGAGUAAAUAGAAAACAAAGCAGAAUUAAGAAUAAAGCACGAAACCAGUUUCCAUCAUCUAUCUUCAAUCACAGUCUGGUCCAGUGAAAUAUUUAAAAAGAGAAAAUUCAAGAACAUACAGAUAACAUGUAUUAAAGUAUACCAUCAC
RNAcentral lists this long non-coding RNA (400 nucleotides) under Fukomys damarensis (Damara mole-rat). Its description in RNAcentral is "lncRNA (ENSFDAG00000023888.1)". Lineage: Eukaryota; Metazoa; Chordata; Mammalia; Rodentia; Bathyergidae. The record is from RNAcentral.